UUCGGUUGAUCCCGCCGGAGAGCACUGCUAUCAGGGUCCGACUCAGCCAUGCGAGUCAGAGCGAAGUCAAAUAACCGCGCGUGCGCGCGCGGCAAGACGCAUUCGCUCGGCGUACUGCUCAGUAACACGUAGCUAACGUACCGUUUCGUGAGGAAUAACCUCGGGAAAGUUCUGUAGAAGUCUUAAGAAAAAAAUCAGGUCCUAAAAGGUGAAAUGAAAGAAAAUCGCGCGCAUUUGCCUUUAGAAAUUUAUUUGCAGAGUGCACUUGCAAUCGUGCGCGCUUUCUCAACGAAAAUUCAUCUUCUGCAGUUCCCCGAAACUGAGAAUAAUACCCCAUAGGUGGAGGAUGCUGGAAGGCGCCUCCGCUGAAAGCAGCAAUGCGCGAAACGAUCGGGCUGCGGCCGAUUAGGCUGUUGUCAGGGUAAAGCUGAAUCGAUGCCUAAAAUGGAAGGAUGAGAACAAAGCCAAGGAAAUUCUGGGAAAAUGAAUCCUGAGAAAUGCGCGACGCUUUGCAAAGUGAAUUAAAUUAGCGCGCAUUUCGCCUUUGCUCCCUUGUUCCCCAACUAGUGUAGAAAAGUGUCUAGCAAGAAAUCAAGUGGCAUUGGAUCUUUACAAACCUGACAAACCUUUUGAUCGGUACGGGCCAUGAGAGUGAUAGCCCGGAGAGAGGUAGCUAACUACCUCCGGAGAUGCACUCUGAGACAUUAGUGCAGGCCUUCCGGGCGGCAGCAGGUACGAAAACUUUCCAUGCGCGAAAAGCGUGAGAGCGGGGACCCUGAGUGGCUGCAGUUUACUGCAGUCUUUUGUCGAGUGUAAACAGCUCGGCGAAUAAGGGGUGGGCAAUACGGGUGCCAGCCGCCAUGUUGGCAGCGGCAAACGUAUCGUAUAAUCGCGUUGCCAUCACGGUAAACGGUAAUACCCGAGCCCCGAGUGGUGCUCACGAUUAUUGGGCCUAAAAUAAGGCAGGCGCAGCCUGCCCUAUGGGCAUAGCACGCGUAGCCGGAUCGAUAAGUCUCUGGUGAAAUCCUGCAGCAAACUGUAGGAAGUGCCAGAGAUACUAUCGGUCUAGGGACUGGUAGAGGUCUGGAGUACGUUGGAGGUAGGGGUAAAACAUUUCUGAAGUGUAAAAUAACGAGCCGCAAGAAUAUUGUUUUUUUGCGGCGAGCAAUUUGUCAUUUCAGAAAUUUACAGUCCUUUAAUCUCCAACGGACUACCUGUGGCGGACGCUUUUUGUCGAGGCAAAAAGUUUCCAUAUAAGGCGCCAGACUAGGACAGAUCCGACGGUGAGGCGUGAAAGCUGGGGGAGCAAUCGGGAUUAGAUACCCCGGUAGUCCCAGCCGUAAACGAUGCCCGCUUGGUGUUGCUGGUCCUUCGUGGACCUGCAGUACCGUAACGAAGGUGUUAAGCGGGCCGCCUGGGAAGUACGGCCGCAAGGCUGAAACUUAAAGGAAUUGGCGGGGGAGCACUACCAGGGGUGGAGGCUGCGGUUCAAUUGGAUUCAACGCCGGA
Molecule: ribosomal RNA, 1509 nt
Filed under: uncultured archaeon
Lineage: Archaea
Description: partial 16S ribosomal RNA
Rfam family: Archaeal small subunit ribosomal RNA
Source: RNAcentral